Molecule: small nuclear RNA, 107 nt
Organism: Vulpes vulpes (red fox)
Lineage: Eukaryota; Metazoa; Chordata; Mammalia; Carnivora; Canidae
Source: Ensembl
GUGCUCACUUCAGCAGCACAUAUACUAAAAGUGGAACAAUACAGAGGAGAUUAGCAUGGCCCCUGUGCAAGGAUGCUAUGUGAAUUUGUGAAGCAUUCCAUAUUUUU